RNAcentral lists this non-coding RNA (236 nucleotides) under Noviherbaspirillum sp. Root189. RNAcentral also lists the same sequence under 1 other name. The record is from RNAcentral. Lineage: Bacteria; Pseudomonadati; Pseudomonadota; Betaproteobacteria; Burkholderiales; Oxalobacteraceae.
UUACAAUAGCGAAGUUUUGGUGCCCGCCCGCAUAUUCAUGCAGGCAGUUAAACGGGAAACACGAUGCUCUUCAGAGCCAACGUGUGCUGCCCCCGCAACGGUAAGCAAGCGUCACGACAGAAGCCGACAUGGUGACUGUGUGACAGACGGUCCUUCGUACCACUGUGCAGUCCGCAUGGGAAGGUCGACCGGUUCAUCUUGCCAGCCCGGAUACCGGCCAGAACAGGUGGAAGCAA